This 465-nucleotide ribosomal RNA is filed under the name Vreelandella stevensii. RNAcentral's name for it is "partial 16S ribosomal RNA". It matches the Rfam family "Bacterial small subunit ribosomal RNA", at positions 338 to 795 of the family's 1533-position model. The record is from RNAcentral. Lineage: Bacteria; Pseudomonadati; Pseudomonadota; Gammaproteobacteria; Oceanospirillales; Halomonadaceae.
CCUACGGGCGGCAGCAGUGGGGAAUAUUGGACAAUGGGGGCAACCCUGAUCCAGCCAUGCCGCGUGUGUGAAGAAGGCCCUCGGGUUGUAAAGCACUUUCAGUGAGGAAGAACGCCUGGUGGUUAAUACCCAUCAGGAAAGACAUCACUCACAGAAGAAGCACCGGCUAACUCCGUGCCAGCAGCCGCGGUAAUACGGAGGGUGCGAGCGUUAAUCGGAAUUACUGGGCGUAAAGCGCGCGUAGGUGGCUUGAUAAGCCGGUUGUGAAAGCCCCGGGCUCAACCUGGGAACGGCAUCCGGAACUGUCAAGCUAGAGUGCAGGAGAGGAAGGUAGAAUUCCCGGUGUAGCGGUGAAAUGCGUAGAGAUCGGGAGGAAUACCAGUGGCGAAGGCGGCCUUCUGGACUGACACUGACACUGAGGUGCGAAAGCGUGGGUAGCAAACAGGAUUAAAUACCCUAGUAGUC